This 72-nucleotide transfer RNA is filed under the name Marmota monax (woodchuck). RNAcentral describes it as "tRNA.Ala". It matches the Rfam family "tRNA". Rfam says of the family: Transfer RNA (tRNA) molecules are approximately 80 nucleotides in length. Their secondary structure includes four short double-helical elements and three loops (D, anti-codon, and T loops). Lineage: Eukaryota; Metazoa; Chordata; Mammalia; Rodentia; Sciuridae. The record is from RNAcentral.
GGGAUGUAGCUCAGUUGGUAGAGUGCUUGCCUUGCAUGCACAAGGCAGGCCUGGGUUCAAUCCCCAGCCCCA